Molecule: long non-coding RNA, 484 nt
Filed under: Monodelphis domestica (gray short-tailed opossum)
Lineage: Eukaryota; Metazoa; Chordata; Mammalia; Didelphimorphia; Didelphidae
Description: lncRNA (ENSMODG00000033516.2)
Source: RNAcentral
AAUGGGUUUAACAGAACUACGUUUUUCCCUUCUCUCUUUUUUCUUCUUUGUUUUGACAGAUGGCUGUCUGGAAGAGGAAAAAGGGAGUUCAUCUGGAGUUUUGUUUAAUGCCAAAAUACGAUGAAUGUUGGCUGUGGACAUCUUGUGAUUUUUCUCACAUGGAGGAAGACCUUCGGGAGCAAGGUUCAUCAUGGAAAAAAGUUAAAAGGUCAAAUGAGAAGACAAGAAAUUCAAGAUUUAGGGAGAAGUCAUUUUAGAGGUGGAAGGACUGAAAUGAUCAUGACCCAGACAAAAAAACAUCAAUAAGAUGUAUUUUUAAAAGGAAAGAAAACCACUUGGAAGCAGGAUGGCUUGUCCAAGCUUUGAUUCACUAUUUAAUUUUGCAGAAAGUCAGCUGUAUUACACUGGCCAGGAGGUCAUGCAAUAGCACAAGCUUUACUCUGCCCACAUGAAAAAAGAACAAAUAAACAAACAUAAACCAACA